CGUGUAGGCGGUUUUAUAAGUCUGAUGUGAAAGCCCUGGGCUCAACCCGGGAAGUGCAUUGGAUACUGUAAGACUUGAAUACGGGAGAGGGUAGUGGAAUUCCUAGUGUAGGAGUGAAAUCCGUAGAUAUUAGGAGGAACACCGGUGGCGAAGGCGGCUGCCUGGACCGAUAUUGACGCUGAGACGCGAAAGCGUGGGUAGCAAACAG
Molecule: ribosomal RNA, 208 nt
Filed under: uncultured delta proteobacterium
Lineage: Bacteria; Deltaproteobacteria
Description: partial 16S ribosomal RNA
Rfam family: Bacterial small subunit ribosomal RNA
Source: RNAcentral